CCAGACUCCUACGGGAGGCAGCAGUGGGGAAUAUUGCACAAUGGGGGAAACCCUGAUGCAGCAACGCCGCGUGAGUGAAGAAGUAUUUCGGUAUGUAAAGCUCUAUCAGCAGGGAAGAAGAAAGACGGUACCUGACUAAGAAGCCCCGGCUAACUACGUGCCAGCAGCCGCGGUAAUACGUAGGGGGCAAGCGUUAUCCGGAUUUACUGGGUGUAAAGGGAGCGUAGACGGCUGUGCAAGUCUGAAGUGAAAGCCCGUGGCUCAACCGCGGAACUGCUUUGGAAACUGUGCGGCUGGAGUGCAGGAGGGGUAAGCGGAAUUCCUAGUGUAGCGGUGAAAUGCGUAGAUAUUAGGAGGAACACCGGUGGCGAAGGCGGCUUACUGGACUGUAACUGACGUUGAGGCUCGAAAGCGUGGGGAGCAAACAGGAUUAGAUACCCCGGUAU
RNAcentral lists this ribosomal RNA (446 nucleotides) under uncultured bacterium. RNAcentral describes it as "bacterial SSU rRNA". It matches the Rfam family "Bacterial small subunit ribosomal RNA", at positions 331 to 793 of the family's 1533-position model. The record is from RNAcentral.